GAUGAACGCUGGCGGCGUGCCUAAUACAUGCAAGUCGAACGAAACUUCUUUAUCACCGAGUGCUUGCACUCACCGAUAAAGAGUUGAGUGGCGAACGGGUGAGUAACAUGUGGGCAACCUGCCCAAAAGAGGGGGAUAACACUUGGAAACAGGUGCUAAUACCGCAUAACCAUAGUUACCGCAUGGUAACUAUGUAAAAGGUGGCUAUACUACCGCUUUUGGAUGGGCCCGCGGCGCAUUAGCUAGUUGGUAGGGUAAAGGCUUACCAAGGCAAUGAUGCGUAGCCGAAUUGAGAGGUUGAUCGGCCACAUUGGGACUGAGACACGGCCCAAACUCCUACGGGAGGCAGCAGUAGGGAAUCUUCCACAAUGGGCAAAAGCCUGAUGGAGCAACGCCGCGUGGGUGAAGAAGGUCUUCGGAUCGUAAAACCCUGUUGUUAGAGAAGAAAGUGCGUGAGAGUAACUGUUCACGUUUCGACGGUAUCUAACCAGAAAGCCACGGCUAACUACGUG
RNAcentral lists this ribosomal RNA (512 nucleotides) under uncultured bacterium. RNAcentral describes it as "partial 16S ribosomal RNA". It matches the Rfam family "Bacterial small subunit ribosomal RNA", at positions 28 to 507 of the family's 1533-position model. The record is from RNAcentral.